Molecule: ribosomal RNA, 1499 nt
Filed under: uncultured bacterium
Lineage: Bacteria
Description: bacterial SSU rRNA
Rfam family: Bacterial small subunit ribosomal RNA
Source: RNAcentral
UAGUUCGAUCCUGGCUCAGGAUGAACGCUGGCGGCAUGCCUAAUACAUGCAAGUCGAACGGAGUGAAGCCUUCGGGUUUCAUUCAGUGGCGAACGGGUGAGUAAUACGCAGGGAACCUGGCCAUGGCAGGGGGAUACACUCUGGAAACGGAGCAUAAGACCCCAUAGGCAGUAAGGCGGCAUCGCCUUACUGUUAAAGAAAGCUGAAAGGCUUUGGCGAUGGAUGGACCUGCGGUGCAUUAGCUUGUUGGUGAGGCAACGGCUUACCAAGGCGAUGAUGCAUAGCCGGCCUGAGAGGGCGGACGGCCACACUGGGACUGAGACACGGCCCAGACUCCUGCGGGAGGCAGCAGUAGGGAAUUUUCGUCAAUGGGCGCAAGCCUGAACGAGCAAUGCCGCGUGAGUGAGGAAGGUCUUCGGACUGUAAAGCUCUGUUGCCGGGGAAAAAGGGGAAAUGCAGGAAAUGGCAUUUCAUGGAUGGUACCCGGCCAGAAAGCCACGGCUAACUACGUGCCAGCAGCCGCGGUAAUACGUAGGUGGCGAGCGUUAUCCGGAAUGAUUGGGCGUAAAGGGUGCGCAGGCGGUCUGUUAAGUCUGAAGGCAAAGGGAUGAGCUCAACUCAUUUAUGAUUCAGAAACUGGCAGACUUGAGGACAGGAGAGGGCGGUGGAACUCCAUGUGUAGCGGUAAAAUGCGCAGAGAUAUGGAAGAACACCAGUGGCGAAGGCGGCCGCCUGGCCUGUGACUGACGCUGAGGCACGAAAGCGUGGGGAGCAAAUAGGAUUAGAUACCCUAGUAGUCCACGCCGUAAACGAUGAGGAGCAGGUGUUGGGAGUGAAAUCUCAGUGCCGAAGCCAACGCAGUGACUCCUCCGCCUGGGGAGUAUGCACGCAAGUGUGAAACUCAAAGGAAUUGACGGGGGCCCGCACAAGCGGUGGAGUAUGUGGUUUAAUUCGAAGCAACGCGAAGAACCUUACCAGGUUUUGACAUCGGAUGCGAAGGCGCAGAGAUGCGCUGGAGGCUAUCAUCCAGACAGGUGGUGCAUGGUUGUCGUCAGCUCGUGUCGUGAGAUGUUCAGUUAAGUCUGGCAACGAGCGCAACCCCCGUGGUAUGUUACUAACGCAUUUGGGCGAGGACUCAUAUCAGACUGCCGGUGACAAACCGGAGGAAGGCGGGGAUGACGUCAAAUCAUCAUGCCCCUUAUGACCUGGGCUACACACGUACUACAAUGGCGUCUACAGAGGGAAGCGACCCUGAGAAGGGAAGCGAAACCGGAAAAGGGCGUCCCAGUUCGGAUUGAAGUCUGCAACCCGACUUCAUGAAGAUGGAAUCGCUAGUAAUCGCGGAUCAGCAUGCCGCGGUGAAUACGUUCCCGGGCCUUGUACACACCGCCCGUCAAACCAUGGAAGCCGGCAACGCCCGAAGCCGGUGGCAUAACCUUUUAGGAGUGAGCCGUCGAAGGCGGGGUUGAUGACUGGGGUUAAGUCGUAACAACCUACCC